CAGAAAAUAGUUUAGUUUAGAAUCC
Molecule: transfer RNA, 25 nt
Filed under: Porochilus rendahli
Lineage: Eukaryota; Metazoa; Chordata; Actinopteri; Siluriformes; Plotosidae
Description: partial tRNA-Pro
Source: RNAcentral